Ananas comosus (pineapple) is the source of this 1076-nucleotide long non-coding RNA. RefSeq lists it as uncharacterized. Lineage: Eukaryota; Viridiplantae; Streptophyta; Magnoliopsida; Poales; Bromeliaceae. The transcript has 3 exons. The record is from RefSeq and is a predicted model, not a curated record.
UUUUUUUUUUUUUUUGUAACGGAAGAGGGCACGAAAGAGGGCGUUUCCUCUUCGCGUCGGUGCUUCUUCCCCCAUCGGCUGCAGCAUUUAUUCUCCCAUCUUGGCAGCGUCGUUCCCUCUCCCUCUUCGUUUCCUACGGUUGGUCAUUUUCUUUCCCCUCUCUGCUGCAACAUCUCUCUCCAAUUUUCUUUCAUAUGAUGAUUUAAGGAGGCGGCGCUGCCCUACGAGCCCACUUCCUCUGCAACUCUAACGAGACCUCCGAGGACCUCAUGGACAAGGAAUACCCCUUCGCCUUCAUGCUCGCGAGUGCCUGGUUCGUCAUCACCAUUCUUGCCGAUUGCGUCGUCACGAUCAUGGUCGCGCGUGGGAUGAGGGUUGAGAGAUUUCAAAAAAGGGCAGAGAAGGAUCGGAGGUCAUGGUGAUGGAGGAGCAUUUCAAGAGAGCAAACUUGGUGCUAACAAUGGAAGCUUGAACCGGCAAUCAGAUGCGAGUUUCAAAUAUAUUAUGGUUACAAUUUGCGGCGAAAUAUAUCAAAUUUUCUUAUACCAAAAGCGAUUGAUUUGAUUACAUGUCAGAACGGAUCCAUUGUAUGGUUGGUGUGGAUGAUGCUAGGAUAUUCUCAUCAUCCUCUGGUUAGAAAUCAAAUUCUGGAUUAAGUGAUCCCAUUGAUUAUGUACAGAAUAGUUAAUAGAAGUUGGUUUUUUUGUGGAGGGGCUCAGCUAUUUGAUGACAAGGAGAAGCUGCACGGUUUUACACAAAGUUAUGGCACAAGCUCAAAUGAUUCAACAGAAAGUAAAACUCCAAUCAGAACGAUCCAAGCCAAGCUCUGAGUUAUUAAAGGCGUUCUGCUACUCUUCCAAGUCUUAUAUGAGUUUAUUAUAUUUGAUAUUUAGAAGUUUUUUAAGUAUGUCAAAUUAUUUAUUGUUUAAAGCUGCUGAGAAUUACAGUUGCUUUCGUUUAAUUUUAGCUUUAAAUGCUCUCAUUUUUUUAUUGCUUCAUUCUUCUUUUGCCUAUUAUAUGUAAGUUGCUGUUGAAUUAUAGUUGCUUUCGUUUAAUUUUAGCUUCAAGUGCUCCCA